Molecule: ribosomal RNA, 253 nt
Filed under: uncultured bacterium
Lineage: Bacteria
Description: partial 16S ribosomal RNA
Rfam family: Bacterial small subunit ribosomal RNA
Source: RNAcentral
UACGGAGGAUCCGAGCGUUAUCCGGAUUUAUUGGGUUUAAAGGGAGCGUAGGCGGGUUGUUAAGACAGUUGUGAAAGUUUGCGUCUCAACCGUAAAAUUGCAGUUGAUACUGGCAUCCUUGAGUACAGUAGAGGUAGGCGGAAUUCGUGGUGUAGCGGUGAAAUGCUUAGAUAUCACGCAGAACCCCGAUUGCGAAGGCAGCAUGCCGGCUUCCUACUGACGCUGAAGCACGAAAGCGUGGGGAUCGAACAGG